GAUGAACGCUGGCGGCGUGCCUAAUACAUGCAAGUCGAGCGAACGGACGAGAAGCUUGCUUCUCUGAUGUUAGCGGCGGACGGGUGAGUAACACGUGGAUAACCUACCUAUAAGACUGGGAUAACUUCGGGAAACCGGAGCUAAUACCGGAUAAUAUUUUGAACCGCAUGGUUCAAAAGUGAAAGACGGUCUUGCUUUCACUUAUAGAUAGAUCCGCGCUGCAUUAGCUAGUUGGUAAGGUAACGGCUUACCAAGGCAACGAUGCAUAGCCGACCUGCGAGGGUUGUUGGGCACACUGGAACUGGGGCACGGGCCCGACUCCUAAGGGAGGGAGCAGUAGGGAAUCUUCCGCAAUGGGCGGAAGCCUGACGGAGCAACGCCGCGUGAGUGAUGAAGGUCUUCGGAUCGGAAAACUCUGUUAUUAGGGAAGAACAUAUGUGUAAGUAACUGUGCACAUCUUGACGGUACCUAAUCAGAAAGCCACGGCUAACUACGUG
Molecule: ribosomal RNA, 497 nt
Filed under: uncultured bacterium
Lineage: Bacteria
Description: partial 16S ribosomal RNA
Rfam family: Bacterial small subunit ribosomal RNA
Source: RNAcentral